RNAcentral lists this ribosomal RNA (495 nucleotides) under uncultured bacterium. RNAcentral describes it as "partial 16S ribosomal RNA". It matches the Rfam family "Bacterial small subunit ribosomal RNA", at positions 28 to 507 of the family's 1533-position model. The record is from RNAcentral.
GACGAACGCUGGCGGCGUGCCUAAUACAUGCAAGUAGAACGCUGAAGGAGGAGCUUGCUCUUCUGGAUGAGUUGCGAACGGGUGAGUAACGCGUAGGUAACCUGCCUGGUAGCGGGGGAUAACUAUUGGAAACGAUAGCUAAUACCGCAUAAAAUUGAUUAUUGCAUGAUAGUCAAUUAAAAGGUGCAAUUGCAUCACUACCAGAUGGACCUGCGUUGUAUUAGCUAGUUGGUGAGGUAACGGCUCACCAAGGCAACCAUACAUAGCCGACCUGAGAGGAUGAUCAGCUGGACUGGGACUGCAACACGGCGCAGACGUCUCCGGGAGGCAGCAGUAGGGGAGUUUCGGCAAUUGACGGAAGUCUGAACGAGCAACGCCGCGUGAGUGAAGAAGGUUUUCGGGAUGAAAAUCUCUGUUUUACUGGAAGAACGAUGGUGGGAGUGGAAAGUUCACACUGUGACGGUAUCUUACCAGAAAGGAACGGCUAACUACGUG